AUUGAACGCUGGCGGCAGGCUUAACACAUGCAAGUCGAGCGGGGUGAUGGUGCUUGCACUAUCACUUAGCGGCGGACGGGUGAGUAAUGCUUAGGAAUCUGCCUAUUAGUGGGGGACAACAUCUCGAAAGGGAUGCUAAUACCGCAUACGUCCUACGGGGGAAAGCAGGGGAUCUUCGGACCUUGCGCUAAUAGAUGAGCCUAAGUCGGAUUAGCUAGUUGGUGGGGUAAAGGCCUACCAAGGCGACGAUCUGUAGCGGGUCUGAGAGGAUGAUCCGCCACACUGGGACUGAGACACGGCCCAGACUCCUACGGGAGGCAGCAGUGGGGAAUAUUGGACAAUGGGCGGAAGCCUGAUCCAGCCAUGCCGCGUGUGUGAAGAAGGCCUUUUGGUUGUAAAGCACUUUAAGCGAGGAGGAGGCUACUUAGAUUAAUACUCUGGGAUAGUGGACGUUACUCGCAGAAUAAGCACCGGCUAACUCUGUGCCAGCCGCCGCCGUAA
RNAcentral lists this ribosomal RNA (501 nucleotides) under uncultured bacterium. RNAcentral's name for it is "partial 16S ribosomal RNA". It matches the Rfam family "Bacterial small subunit ribosomal RNA", at positions 30 to 523 of the family's 1533-position model. The record is from RNAcentral.